Molecule: non-coding RNA, 216 nt
Filed under: Polaribacter atrinae
Lineage: Bacteria; Pseudomonadati; Bacteroidota; Flavobacteriia; Flavobacteriales; Flavobacteriaceae
Source: RNAcentral
UUUACACUAUAAAUUUUUGGUUUUAUAUUCAAUAAAUUGAAUUAAAAUUAAAAGGGAAUCAGGUAACUUUUAAAAGAAAACCUGAGCUGUUCCCGCAACUGUAAGCAUUGUCUAAUUAUUAGAUUAUCGUUAUUUCUUACACCACUGUCUUAGUUAAAGACGGGAAGGUUUUAACAAAAUGCAAGCCAGGAGACCUGCCAAAAAUUAUAUUCGUCU